This 190-nucleotide small nuclear RNA is filed under the name Castor canadensis (American beaver). RNAcentral describes it as "U2 spliceosomal RNA (ENSCCNG00000018075.1)". It matches the Rfam family "U2 spliceosomal RNA". Rfam says of the family: U2 is a small nuclear RNA (snRNA) component of the spliceosome (involved in pre-mRNA splicing). Complementary binding between U2 snRNA (in an area lying towards the 5' end but 3' to hairpin I) and the branchpoint sequence (BPS) of the intron results the bulging out of an unpaired adenosine, on the BPS, which initiates a nucleophilic attack at the intronic 5' splice site, thus starting the first of two transesterification reactions that mediate splicing. Lineage: Eukaryota; Metazoa; Chordata; Mammalia; Rodentia; Castoridae. The record is from Rfam by way of RNAcentral.
AUCACUUUUUAGUUUUGGCCAAGAUCAAGUGUAGUAUCUGUUCUUAUCGGUUCACUAUCUGAUACAUCCUCUAUCUGAGGACAAGGACAAUAAAUUAAAUAGAUUUUUGGAGCAAGGAGAUGGAAUAUAAGCUUGCUCAGUUCACCCUGGUAUUGCAAUAUUGCAGUACCUCCAGAAUGGUACACAGAAG